RNAcentral lists this long non-coding RNA (3150 nucleotides) under Coffea arabica (coffee). RNAcentral's name for it is "long non-coding RNA (CARA_LNC008295)". Lineage: Eukaryota; Viridiplantae; Streptophyta; Magnoliopsida; Gentianales; Rubiaceae. The record is from RNAcentral.
AACCUCUUAUGAAGAAGAAGACCAAGACCAAAUAAUUUUAUAGCAUCAAAAAGUAUGAUGCCAGGCAGCUGAAUAAUGAGAACCACUUUAUUUACAGAAUCAGCAAAGAGGGCUAGCGCCUGAAAUAAAGAGCAGCAUUGAUUAAGCAGAUAGGAAUGUCAAAAUGCAGAAAUAACAACAUUCAUAAGCUAAGUGAUAGAAUUAACAUGCAUAAUAUGUUGCUUUAGGCAUCUUAAAUGAAGAAACAAUUCCCUUUGCAUGAAAUCAAAGCACAGUAAUUACUUUUAAAUGUAAACCACAAUACUAAUACUAAAAUCGAUAUUCAAGGACGACAAAAGAGACUAGACUUGAUUUGUCAAAAAUCCAUGUUGCCUUUGAUUGGAGUAAACUAGAUUAUCCCUCAACAUUUGACAUUUAUAUCAGAGUCCCUCAAUGUGGCCAAAGUGCACUAACACCUGAGAAGCAACUUGUCCCUACUACUCCACCAACUACUACUAUUCAAAAGAAUACCUGUGUAACAACAAAGGUACUCAACAGUCUUAGUUCUAAAAAACAAUUACUUUCCAAGUGCAAAUUACUCAUAGUCCAAAAACCAGAACCAGCACCAGCAUUGCCAGGGUAGCCAACACUAAAAAUCCAAAAUGAAAAACUAAAAACAGAAAUAUUAAUAAAACAAAUCCGAUAUGAAAAAACCUGUCUACUUGUGUAUUGCUGUGUGCCACACUUCGUUUUUGUCAACCUUUUAGCCCAUUUGGUAUAACUCAUCUGGAAUGACAGUCCACCUCGUAAAUGAGCUUUGCAAAUGGACAUUAAUGAACUUCUAAGGUAAAGUCAUUUCAAGCAAGCAGCUACUCCAUGAAAAGCCUUGCUCAGUACAUUAGUGCUUAAGGAGCACUUUCUCCAAUUAUUGAAAAUCAAGGUGGCUUUCUGGUACCAUCCACACCUAAAUGCACCAAUUAAUCAUCUAGACAUGUUGCUCCAUUCCUUUGCCAUUUUGUGAAAUGAUUCAUAAUAGAUUGACCAACCACCUUUCCCUUAAUCUAUCCCCAACUCAUUACCACCAAUUCAAUCACCACAACAUAAUCUAACGUCUACCCCAUCCAUAUUCUGUCCAUCAGCCUUCAUGAUGUGGAGUCUUAUUUACAAAGGUAUCCAAUUUUUUGCAAUCUAUUCCAGCUCUCUCUCUCUCUGCUCUUUUAUUGUUUUAGUAAAAUAGCCUUAAAUAUGUCAUAAAACUACAAGCAGUUCAGAGGUCACUUUAGAAACAGAGAAUUCAUGUCCCCAAGAAGUUCCAUAGCUCCAAAAUAAAUGAAGAACUGCAAGCAACAACAUUAAUGUCAAAUUUGCAUUAGGUCCUGAAUUCUAGUUUUGGUGACAAGAAACACAUCACCUUAAUACAGAAGCAUAAUCAAUUAGAAUGGUGGUAAUAAAAAAAACUUGUGUUCAUCAGGAACUACAAUUUUAGCAUUGCCUUAGUCAAAAUUUUUGGCAAUUCUUAACCUCCCCAUAAAAUUUGGCAGGAAAAGCUCUCCUUUUUCAAUGUGUAAUUAAAUCUCAUCCAGUCCACCACCAUCGUCCAUAUAAAUUUAAAAGAUAACACUGAAAUAACACCAUUCAUACAAAAAGAAACAGUUCAAGUGAUGACCAUUAAUGAGCAUGAGAAAAAUUUAAAUGUGUGGGAGUACUGAAAUUGGUGUGCCUCUGUCUGGGGGUAUGAGAGAGACAGAGACAGAAGGAGCUUGCAAGUGUAUAAAGACUUGAUGGGCUUAUGCUUGAAGACCAUUACCUAAUCUUCAGUAAACAUCUCAAACGGGAGACAACGCACAGACAUGGCUGGAACUGAAAAUCUUGCAUUGAAAUUGAUCAAUUUGACUCCAAAAAAGACUAAUAACACGUGUUUUACUUAACUCAUCUCUCUUAUAAUCUUGUGAAAUGUCAAACCAAUGAGUCACACUUCAUCAAAAUCCUAUGUGGUCUAUUUCAAUAAAUGAGCGUCCAAGGAGUCAACAUUAGGCAACAAGAUUUAUCUACACAUAUGACGAGAUGCACAUUCAAUUACCAAAAAAAUCUUAAAUGCUAAAGAGUACACGAGAAUUGGCCAUUUAAAGACACUACAUAACUAUGCAAACAAACAUCCAGCUUUCCAUCAAACCAACCGAAAGUAAAUAUUUCCCAAAAUGCAGUAAAACCUCAGCAGUUCAUAAAAAGAGAAAGUAACAAAAAAUCAAUUAUCUAUAAAUUCCACAACUAACCAAAGGGCCAGCAUGUACACAUGUAGGAGCCAAGUGCACCAGUCAUGCAGUUCACCCAAGAUACUCAUACCUAAAGGCCAGACCCUAGUUCCACAGCCAGUAAAGUGUACAGAUGAUAUCGAACAGCAGUUACAGAACAAUAAUCUAAGAAGGGGCGCUCUUAUCCCAGGCAUACCCACUGUAGCUCAUCAGCCCAAAAGAAGGAAGAAAUGGAGCAAAAUUACUUAAAAAAAAAAAAAUAAAAGGAAUAAAGUAAGCAAUGCCAUGAACACUUAAAAAAGAGUUCAGUACUUAAGCCAGUCCAGAUAAUGUCGCAUACAAUGGGAACCAACAUAAAAGGGAAAGGAAAAAGAAAAAUAGUAGCACUAACAAUAAAAGCUAUUACAAAGCCCAAACCCUAAUUCAAUUAAGGCAAUUUGAUCACACAACUUAAAACAAAAUCCAAUAGCAAUAACGAAUUGAAAAAACGAAAAACUAGAAGGUAAACGAGCGAAACCUGUUGAAUUGUGAAUUAGGGUUUCGAACAUUUUUACUUUUUCUGUUCCCUUUUUCUCCUCUGUUUCGGUGAAAUGAUAAAGAGAGCAGGCUGUAGCUUCUUCCUCCAAUAGUAAUCGGACCGUAAUUUUGCAGCUUACGCCAAGUCAGAAUUUUGUCUGUAUUUGCAAUCUCUAUAUUGUAUAAGCUCCCCUCCGUCCAAAUGUCGUUUUGUCUCUCUCUCUCUCUCUUCUCUCUCACGCACCCUGUGAAGAAGAAAAGGAGAGAAAAAAAGGAGGGUUUUACAGAAGAAACACGGACGGAUUUGGGUAGCCAAUAAAAUAAUUUUAUCGUAAAUUGAAGAAAACAACCCUCAUGUGUUGCUAAAAUGUAGACAUAUUCAUCAUUCGAAAUUUUGUCGCAG